Molecule: ribosomal RNA, 267 nt
Filed under: uncultured bacterium
Lineage: Bacteria
Description: partial 16S ribosomal RNA
Rfam family: Bacterial small subunit ribosomal RNA
Source: RNAcentral
GUCCACGCUGUAAACGAUGUGUGCUAGACGUUGGGGAGCCUAGCUCUUCGGUGUCGCAGCUAACGCGGUAAGCACACCGCCUGGGGAGUACGGCCGCAAGGUUAAAACUCAAAGGAAUUGACGGGGGCCCGCACAAGCGGUGGAGCAUGUGGUUUAAUUCGACGCAACGCGAAGAACCUUACCAGCCCUUGACAUGUCCCGUAUGGUCCGUGGAGACGCGGUCCUUCAGUUCGGCUGGCGGGAACACAGGUGCUGCAUGGCUGUCGU